This 300-nucleotide signal recognition particle RNA is filed under the name Callithrix jacchus (white-tufted-ear marmoset). RNAcentral describes it as "Metazoan signal recognition particle RNA (ENSCJAG00000075523.1)". It matches the Rfam family "Metazoan signal recognition particle RNA". From Rfam's summary of the family: The signal recognition particle (SRP) is a universally conserved ribonucleoprotein. It is involved in the co-translational targeting of proteins to membranes. The eukaryotic SRP consists of a 300-nucleotide 7S RNA and six proteins: SRPs 72, 68, 54, 19, 14, and 9. Lineage: Eukaryota; Metazoa; Chordata; Mammalia; Primates; Cebidae. The record is from Rfam by way of RNAcentral.
GCUGGGCGCGGUGGCCUGUGCCUAUAGUCCCAGCUAUUCGGGAGGCUGAGGCUGGAGGAUCUCUUGAGUCCAGGAGUUCUGGGCUGUAAUGCACUAUGCCGAUCAGGUGUCCUCAGUAAGUUUGGAAUCAAUAUGGUGACCUCCCGAGAGUGGGGGACCACCAGGUUGCCAAAGGAGGGGUGAACUGGCCCAGGUUGGAAACAGAGCAGGUCAAAACUCCCGUGCUGAUCAGUAGUGGGAUCGUGCCUGUGAAUAGCCACUGCACUCCAGCCUGGGCAAUAUAGCGAGACCCUGUCCCUU